GAUGAACGCUAGCGGCAGGCUUAACACAUGCAAGUCGAGGGGCAGCGAGAUCAGUGCUUGCACUGAUUGUCGGCGACCGGCGCACGGGUGCGUAACGCGUAUGCAACCUACCCAUUACAGGGGGAUAACACUGAGAAAUCGGUACUAAUACCCCAUAACAUCCAGGGAGGCAUCUUCUUGGGUUGAAAACUCCGGUGGUAAUGGAUGGGCAUGCGUUGUAUUAGCUAGUUGGUGAGGUAACGGCUCACCAAGGCGACGAUACAUAGGGGGACUGAGAGGUCAACCCCCCACAUUGGUACUGAGACACGGACCAA
This 314-nucleotide ribosomal RNA is filed under the name uncultured bacterium. RNAcentral describes it as "bacterial SSU rRNA". It matches the Rfam family "Bacterial small subunit ribosomal RNA", at positions 28 to 334 of the family's 1533-position model. The record is from RNAcentral.